This 509-nucleotide long non-coding RNA is filed under the name Homo sapiens (human). RNAcentral's name for it is "non-protein coding lnc-PPP1R2C-9:1". The record is from RNAcentral. Lineage: Eukaryota; Metazoa; Chordata; Mammalia; Primates; Hominidae.
CGCUGCGGCCGCUAUCCCCUCCGGACCAUGGCCGACGACGACGUGCUGUUCGAGGAUGUGUACGAGCUGUGCGAGGUGAUCGGAAAGGGUCCCUUCAGUGUUGUACGACGAUGUAUCAACAGAGAAACUGGGCAACAAUUUGCUGUAAAAAUUGUUGAUGUAGCCAAGUUCACAUCAAGUCCAGGGUUAAGUACAGAAGAGAUCUAAAGCGGGAAGCCAGUAUCUGUCAUAUGCUGAAACAUCCACACAUUGUAGAGUUAUUGGAGACAUAUAGCUCAGAUGGAAUGCUUUACAUGGUUUUCGAAUUUAUGGAUGGAGCAGAUCUGUGUUUUGAAAUCGUAAAGCGAGCUGACGCUGGUUUUGUGUACAGUGAAGCUGUAGCCAGCAUCUUAGACAAACAUAGCUGGAAACAACUUGGAGACCACCUUAAUACAGCUUUGAGCUCAGCAUGACUUGAAUGUCUUCAAAUUCAUUGCCCUGACUCCUUCUGGCUGAAGAGCAAGGGACCU